Long non-coding RNA from Zingiber officinale, 4196 nucleotides. RefSeq lists it as uncharacterized. The transcript has 4 exons. The record is from RefSeq and is a predicted model, not a curated record. Lineage: Eukaryota; Viridiplantae; Streptophyta; Magnoliopsida; Zingiberales; Zingiberaceae.
GCAACUCUAGAUCUAAUAAGAUACGGGAGGGGGUUGCUGGUUGAUGCGCCAAUCUCGAAGGAAGUCAAACAUGUUCCUCUGUUGUUGCUCUAUCGAGUCGAGACGCCCGUCAAUUGUUGUCAAAUGUUGGCGGAUCUCCUGAUACUCCUCUUGAGAGCAUGUAUCUGGCUCGAAAGGGGAUGCCUGAGUAUGAUGUGGUGAGGGUAGCGCUAGAAAAGGCAUCAAAAGAUCAUAGAUCCACAUUAGAUCAGACCCAAGUGAGCUCAAAUCUAGAUUUAAAUGAGGAGAUCAAGCUCUGGAACCAUCUAAACUGCUCAUUCAAGAUCUGGAGCGAUCUAACCCAUACAUCAGAGAUUUACUCUAUCCAAGCCAAGGGGAAGUAUAUCACAACCAUCGAUCAGGAUCUGAAGUCCUAGAUUAAGAUUUGAACUGAUUCCCACCAUUGGAUCAGAUCUAAGUUGAUUAGAGUCGUUGAUCCAGAUCUGGUGAGAUUUAAAAAGGGAAUGAAUAGCUACAGUUGUGGGCUUCAUCAAAUUGCUACGGAGGCAAUUGCUCAAAAUAGAGGAGGGGGUGAUCUUCUUCCUUGAUCCACCUUCCACCACCAGCAACUAAUGGAGGUCAAGAGCUACCCUUCCUCCGAUCAUCAUCCACCUAUCACCAGCCGACGAUCCCACUUCAUCCCUCUGAUCCAGAUCUGAAAGGCAAUUCUGUUGCGACUGCAUGCGAAGAGGGAAGAAGCGGAAAAGAGGAGAAGCAAGCGGAUUGAAUCUGGUUUAUUCAUCUUUCAGUCGGCGAUCUUCUUCCUCGAAGCUCUGAAUGUAUCCAAUUGGAUAGGAGUGUUUGCUUCUACUUCCAUUGGUUCUCUAUUGCUGCUACUGAUUUUGGUAUUUCUGAAUUUAGCAUUGAUGUUGUCACUGGAUAAGAAUCUAUCGUCCAUUCGUCUGAAUUGAUCGGUUCCUCACGAAUCCGUGAGUGCUCGGGAUUCCCAGCUCACUUUGGUUUAUCAUUCCUCCCUUAUAUUUCUAUCUUCAUUUCUGCAUUUCUAUUACUGUAAUUUCUAGUUUCGUUUAGUUUCGUUUUGCUGCUUAAUUCUGUAGAUCUGAGUUAGCUGAGAUUGGAUGAAGCUUUGAUUUGUUUCUGUAUGUUCAUCUGAAUGCUUGUUAGCUCUACCGAUGAAGAUCUGAAUCUAAAUCUAUUUUGAUGUUAUUUGGUUGCAAGGAUUUGAAUUAUUUAGGUUAGAUGAAGUUGUAGAUUUGUUUUCUAUCUGUUCAUCUUCACGGAUUUGAGUAAAUCUCCUACCAUCUGACAAAUGGUUAGUUUGAUCCAUUGAGUAUCCGAUCUCUUGACUUUGAUUUGAUCUUGUUUUAUUCUUGUUUAGUCCUUGCUUAGUUUCCAAUCUAUUUGGAUAUGUUAAUGGUGUUAAUCCAUGGCAUAAAGUGACAGCAUGUUGUGAGUUUAUGAUUAAUAGAUUGAUAGGAUCUUUUUUAUCGCUUUAAAUUUAGUUUUAUAAUUGUCUUGUUAUUUCAUUCAUUAGUUUAAGAACUCAACGAAAUCUAAAACCCCAAUUUCUUAUCAAAAAUCCAAAAAGCAAUAACAAAUCAAUCCUAAGAUACCAUCAUUGUUACAUUCGUUGGGAGAUGACUUGAAUCAUCUCUAUGCUACAUUAGUGUAGAAUGAAUUCAGUCAUUUAAUUAUUUUGAUACCCAUUUCAUCACAAAAUUAUGGAUUUAUCAAAUUUGGAGUCGUUGUUGAGGAAUGUUAGUGAUGUUUGAUAACCUUAGGAUUAAUUUUCUCUUUUUACAUAAAAAUUAAAAAAAAUUAUUGUCAAAUUCGUUAAUGUUCAUAUAUCAAUGUGCUUGAUUUUAUAUGUUCCCUGUACCUUCUGAUCUUAUCUGCUAGUAUUUCAGUGUAAGAGUAGGAAGUUUCUUUGACCAUGGAUCCAUAUUAUCAGUACUAUCAGCCUCAAAUUUGGUUCUAUCAGUCUGAACAUCAGUACUACCCACCUAUGGAGCAGCAGAAUAUGUAUGAGUCAUUUCUUAAUACCUAUAAUUUUAAUAGGGUGGAUCAUUCAUAUUUCAGGUACGAGAUUGCACAUAGUCAGUUUACUAAGUCAUAUCCAACAUAUCGAAGCCCACGGGGAGUUCAAAAUGAUUAUAUGGUUAUGUAGAAGAGGAUUCGUGACAUUCAACAAUUCAAGGAGGAGACAUUACAUGAAUAUUGGAAGAGAUUCAAGGAACUUUGCUCCAUUUGUCCUCAACAUCAGAUCAGUGAUAAGUUGCUUGUUCUACACUUUUUUGAUGGGUUAUUGCCGAUUGAUUUGUACAUGGUAGAUAAAGAUAGUGGAGGGGCCUUGAUUGACAAGACUCCUGAUGAAGUUAUGAAACUUUUGGAAAACAUGGCAGUCAACUCUCAAUAAUUUAGAAAUGGACAACUGAUUACCAUAAGUGUUGAUGAGACCAUUCCUAUGGAUAUCGAGGUGCUUGAGAAGAGGAAUUGUAGUGUUUUUGACAAACCUGAUCUCGUUUCUAUUACUCCAUAAGACUCCUCUAGUAUUUUUUAUUGUGAUGCUGUAGUUGUAAGGAUUUCUGACUCUGCUGAUAUUGUUAUUGUAGAUGUUAUUGAUGAUGCAGGUACUAAUGUCGAAGAUGAGGAGGAGAGUGUAGAGGAUUGCAUAGUGGAAGCAAUACCCCAAGAAUCACCUCUUCCAGUUGCAUAAUCACUUGAACUAGAUGUUGAUGAUGUAAGUGUAGGGGGUUGCACAUUGGAAGCAAUACCCUAAGUAUCACCUAAACCAAAGCCUAAACCACUACUUGAUGAUGAGGAGGUCAUAGUCACCAUUCUAGGACCUCCAGGUACCUUUCAACAUCACAAGAUUAGUAUUUCUUGUGAUUCAUCAUAAAAUUUCAUAGAGGUACCAUUAAUUGACUUUAUUGGAUGUGAUGCAUUUCUUAAACCAUGUAGUGUAGAAACUAAUAUUUUUCCAUGCUUGCGAGAGGUGUCAUCUUUCAUUGAUUUUGCAAGAGAUUAUAAACUUCCGGAGUGGAUGCUUAAAUUGAAUCGUCUUCAACCUCCGGGGCAAAUUUUCGAGGAGCAUAUGGUGGGAGAGGUUUUAACUUCAAUGAAUAACAUUCCACUCCCUAAGUGGAUGAUCUUCUCAACCGACUCCAACCACCGGGAAGGACCAUUCCACUACUAGCAUGGAUGCUACUUCUAAACCUUUUGCAACCACCCGGGAAUAAAGCGAAGUGAAUUAUGGGAAUGUGUAGCUGAACAUGGUACACAACAAGUAAAGAAGAAAUUUUGAACUUUUGAGGUCAAAAGAGGAUGAUCAUGGUGUUCUUCAAAAACAGGUUAUGCUAGGAACUCCAAUCAUAGUGGAGUACUUUUGAAAAGGCAUUAAAAGAUCAUAGAUCCAAAUCAGAUCAAACUCAAGUGAGCUCAAUCUAGGUUUAAUGAGGAGAUCAAGUUCUGGAACCAUCUAAACCGUUCAUUCAAAAUAUGGAGCAAUCUAAGCCAUACAUCAGAGAUCUACUCCAUCCAAGCCAAGGGGAAGUAGAUCACAACCAUCGAUCAGGAUUUGAAGUCCUAGAUUAAGAUUUGAAUGAUUUCCGCCAUUGGAUCAUAUCUGAGUUGAUUAGAGCCGUUGAUCUAGAUCUGAUGAGAUUUAAAAAGGGAAUGAAUAGCUACAGUUGCAAGCUUCAUCAAAUUGCUACAGAGGCGAUUGCUCAAAAUAAAGGAGGGGGCGAUCUUCUUCCUUGAUCCACCUUCCACCAUCGGCAACUAAUGGAGGUCAAGGGUGACCCUUUCUCCGAUCAUCAUCCACCUAUCACCAGUCAGUGACGCCACUUCAUCCCUUUGAUCCAGAUUUGAAAGUCAAUUCUGUUGUGACUGCAUGCGAAGAGGGAAGAAACGGAAAAGAGGAGAAGCAAGUGGAUUUGAUCUGAUUUAAUUUCUUAGACUUUCAGUCAGCGAUCUUCUUCCUUGAAGCUCUGAAUGCAUCCAAUUGGAUAGGAGUGUUUGCUUCUACUUCUAUUGGUUCUCCAUUGCUGCUACUGAUUUUAGUAUUUCUAAAUUUAACACCGAUGGUGUCAUUGGAUAAGAAUCGAUCGUCUGAAUUGAUCGGUUCCAAACUAAUCUAUGAGUGCUCGGGAUUCCCAGCUCACUUUGGUUUAUCAUUCCUCCCUUAUAUUUCUGUC